Bos taurus (domestic cattle) is the source of this 1301-nucleotide long non-coding RNA. Lineage: Eukaryota; Metazoa; Chordata; Mammalia; Artiodactyla; Bovidae. The record is from Ensembl.
GACUUAGGCCCAGGCAACACUUCUCAGCCGUGACUGCUUGUUGGAAUCAUCUGGGGAGCUUGCAAUACCGAAGCCUGGGUCCCGCCUUCAGGGAUUCUGAUUUCAUUGGUGUGGGGAUACAUCCUGGGCAUCAGGCUCUUAAAACUUGCCAGGUGUGAGGGAUAUGGGAAGGUAAUAAAAGCCAUUAUAGUCAGAGCCCUUCCUAGCUCUUUCGGAUUCUGAAGUUUGGAGUUUGGCUCCACCUUGCUCUGUGUGAGACAGCGUCUAAUCUCAGAGAGAUGGCUCCCUGGGAGGCUGGCUGCAUUUAGAACUUCAUCCAAGCUGCUUUCUGGGAUAAAAUGAAGUCUGUGAAGCAUCACCUGGGAUUUUAUUCCAAGUUUUACAUUCGUUUGCAGAAUGAAGAUUUGUUUCGCACACUGCUGGGGACCCACUGAGGUGCUUCAGUUGUGCCUUUGCGACCCUACGUACUACAGCCUGCCAGGCUCCUCUGAUCAUGGGAUUCUCCAGACAAGAAUACUGGCGUGGGUUGCUGUUUCCUACUCCAGGGGAUCUUCCCAACCCAGGGAUCGAACCCGCAGCCUCUUACAUCUCCUGUGUUGGCGGGUGAACUCUUUACCGCUUGCGCCACCUGGGAAGUCUGAGCCACUAUUACUGUUUUGGUUUAUACCUCUCAACACCUAUUUAGUACACUUGUAGUUGUGUCUUUCCAGUGGGUUUUUUUUUUUUAAGCUUAUAAACUUCCUCUCACCACAAAAAUGAGGUCUUCUAUCAAGCACUGUUUCUGGAGAACAACCUGUUCUACCAUCCUCUCCAUGUUGGCUUCAUAUGUAUCUUCCACAAAUGACUGCGUCUGUGAAGCUGUGUGAGAUGACUGCAAGCAGCCCCAGCAUGAAGCUCACCACCCUGGAAUUGUGCUCCUCAACGAGAGGAGUGGGAGGGGGUGUACCCCCUAGAAAGCAUCUUGGAAAUUUGUGGGGAUAGUUGGGGUUGUCACGGUGAUGGUGGGGAGCUACUGUUUGAAUUUCAUGCUAGACAUCCUACGGACCAUGGGGCACUCCUAUACAAAGAAGAGUUCUUAUGUUCUAUGCCAGUUUCUAAUGUCCCACUGGACAUUCAUGUAGGUAGAGAGCCUAUUUGUAAUGAACUGAGCCUAGACUUAACCCCGUUUUAUAUAUAAAGCCGUUUGCACAGUCAUCUUUAAUUGAGUAUACAUAACAUAAUGACAUAACUUUAGUGUCAGGCAUACAGUAUAAUGUUUCAAUACCUAUAUACAUUGUGAAACGGUCACCACAAUGUCUAAU